CACUGCUCAAAAAAUUAAAGGGAACACUUAACACAAUGUAACUCCAAGUCAAUCACACUUCUGUGAAAUCAAACUGUCCACUUAGGAAGCAACACUGAGUGACAAUCAAUUUCACAUGCUGUUGUGCAAAUGGGAGCGACAACAGGUGGAAAUUAUAGGCAAUUAGCAAGACAACCCCAAUAAAGGAGUGGUUCUGCAGGUAAUCACCACAGACUACUUCUCAGUCCCUAUGCUUCCUGGCUGAUGUUUUGGUCACUUUUGAAUGCUGGCGGUGCUUCCACUCUAGUGGUAGCAUAAGACGGAGUCUACAACCCACACAAGUGGCUCAGGUAGUGCAGCUCAUCCAGGAUGGCACAUCAAUGCGAG
This is a non-coding RNA of Pelobates cultripes (western spadefoot toad), 366 nucleotides long. The record is from the annotation of a GenBank genome assembly. Lineage: Eukaryota; Metazoa; Chordata; Amphibia; Anura; Pelobatidae.